UUGCUUUAUUCCUGCAUUUGAUGGACCUAUACUCUUUGUUCUGUAUAUUUCCAUGACCUUCUCUUUUGCACAAAAUGAUGCAGUACUCUUAUACUUCCAACAAUAUCAUUCAGAACAUAACUUGCUUCCUCAUAUAGCUUUAUUAGUACAUUGCAAUAACCUUAAAAAAUUAUUGCAAUAGAUCUUAAUAACUGCUGCAAUAGCCUAAAAAAAUCGUUGUAGUAGAUCUUAAUAACCGUUGCAAUAGCCUUUUUUACUGUUGUUAUAGUCUCAUAAAAACGCCGCGAUAGUAUUUUUAACCGUUACAAUAGGCCCAAUAGCAGUUGCAUUAACGUAUAUAGCUACGGUUAAGAACCGUUGCAUUUGCCUAAAAUAACUGUUGCAAUAGACUAAUUUAUCGUAACGGCUAUAAGUCCAUUGCCAUAACUGUCUAUCGUAACGGUUUUAAACCGUUGCAAUAGAUCUAUUGGCACCCGACCUGAUAUAACGGGCCCUAAUUGUGGGGGCUAAGUACGCACGAGGUAACGAGAGUCUGUGUGUAGCUACUAUUAUGCUUAUGUCCAGGUAGUUUAGGACCCAAAAAGCAUGCUUUACUUGUAAUAAUGGUAACCUUAUUGACAGUUUAAAUUGCUUUAGUUGCAUCAAAGUGGUAAAUGAUUUUCUAAAAGAGUUAAACUUCAUUUUCUCGGCUUGUAAAAGAGAAAUUGACACUUCCUUGAAUAAUUGUCUCCCUAAUGAAGCGUUGAUUGACUGUUUGAAUGUGUGUUUCUAUGUCUACCUGCGUCGCAUGUAUGAUUCGCAAGCCGGGUGAUUAUUUAUUUAUAUUUGAUCGCAUCGCAUGUAUGAUUCGCGAGCGGGGUAAUAGAUGCAUCUAUGGUUCGCGCCGUUCAACCCUCGGUAGUGCACAUUUUACAUUUAUGUUAGAUCGGGUCAUACGACCUCGGCAUGAUAUGCACAUGCUUAUAUUGCUUGCCUAAGAAUUAUAAAUGUUGAUACUUGCCUUUCCUGGCAAGAGAUAAAUUGAUAAAGAUAAUGAAAAGUAAAUAUUCGAAAAUUCUUUAUUAUUUGAGAAGUUGUUUACCUGCUUUCCGACUGUAUGAGUUUAUUUUUGCUCUAUGAAAUCUAUGAUUUCCUCACAAUUUUACUAUAUUAUCAUUGGACCACGAGUAAGUGUCGAAGUCGACCUCUCGUUUCUUCGAGAUUAGACAUGAUACUCACUAGGUACACGUUGUUUUCGUCCUCAUACUACACUUGUUGUGUAUUUUUGUUGCACAGGUUCAUGUGUGGCUAGUGGCUCAGUGGCAUAGCGGCAUGGUUGAUACAGAGACUUAGGUGAGCUGCAUUUAUCAAAGCGACCCGCAGCCAACAGAGUCUCCUUUAGAGUAUUAUACUGUAUUUUCAUUUCUGUCCACUUUGUAUUCCGAACAGUUACUGUAUUUUAUUGCACUCCCUAGCAAAUGUUUGUGCACUUGUGACACCGAAUUCUGGGAGGGUACCUUGUAUUAACCUCUUAACAUUAUAUUUAAUUUGAAAUGAUUACCUUUUACUAGUAAAUGCGAAAAAAAAAUCAUAGUUUUCAAAAUUAUUAAAAUGAGAAUUUAAUUAAGUAAUUUAAUUGGUUUGCCUGACAGCGGCAUCCGACGCCAUCACAACUCUUAAUAGAUUUUUGGUCGUGACACCAGUAAAUUACUUUUUGCUAAGAAAGAAAACAAAGAAACAACAUUAAACCGUCAAUUCACCUUUUCACAGCGAAUGGUCAAGCAAAGGUCUCUAAAAAAAUUAAAAAUCUACCUUCUUAGACAUUUAAAGUUUACAUGUUGUAACUCAAAAUCUUUGUUCAGAGUGACCUCUGUCAUAUCAGAAUCAUCACUUGAAUUUUAUCUUUUUCCGUGUUUUUUGCGUGGAAUAGCAAAUAUUGUAGCAGCAUCACUCUUGAAUAUACAGGUACCAAUGAGUUUGACUAGGACACAUGGCUUUAGUUGUCAUCAUCAGAGCACAAAAAACUUGUCAGGCUGCGAAUACUACAAAUCAACCACUUAACAAGCUCUAAUUAAAAUCCUUAAAAAAUAUAAUAAGGGGUAUUUAGAUGCACGAAAACAUCCAAAAAUUUUGUUUUGCCAUUUUAAAUAAGAUGAGCUCCCGCGUAAAAAUUGGUUGUUAAACAAAACAAAGACAAAUGGCAGACAAAAUCUUAUCUGCUAAUAAAAAAACUUGCUUUAUUCCUGCAUUUGAUGGACCUAUACUCUUUGUUCUGCAUAUUUUCAUGACCUUCUCUUUUGCACAAAAUGACGCAGCAGUCUUAUACUUCCAACAACAUCAUUCAGAACAUGACUUGCUUCCUCAUAUAGCCUAUGCGAAAAAUAAGAUUAAUCAGCACCAUUAUAAUCAGCACCAUUAUACUCGAAAUAUUAUUGCAACAGUAGCAAAAAAUAACAAAUUAUCUGAGAUAGUAUUAGUAAGCUUUCUAUUUUGGCUAAUCUAUUGAUUUAACUGAUGGUUGAGAACAACUUUCAAGUUCAAGACUUGAUUAUCCAUAUAUUUAAUUUUACCAGCAACUCAAACAAACAUUUAUAUCUGACUGAACCUACAUAUACAUUAAUACCAAGUGUGAUAAGUGCUAACUUUCAACUCACUUCAAAAGCAAUAAAUAAACAUGUGUGCAGAUGAAAUAUCUUGAACCAUUUGAGUAAGUGCAUAUCCUACUAAAGCACGUACUGCAACAGCAUCAGCAGAAAUCCUAAAAGCAAUCAUUAUAUUGAAGCGCUCAGAUUCAUCAAAUCGUCCCACCUCCAUGUGGAACACCUGCUGAAAGCACAUAAAUCUAAUUCUUCUUAUCAGCUUACAACUACCUAUACCAAGAACGGCAUGUCCUUGCUUCAUAGAUAAAGCAUCUCGUAUCAAACUUCUGUAUCAAUUCUAUAAAGACUAAAGUGCUGACAACUUUCAAGUAAGAUAGACAUAUAGCUGUUAUUUCCUUUCGAGUCUAUUGAUGUCGUAUGAACCUAAUGUGAAGCAAGUGAAGAUGCAAUGAUAUUGCAUCGGCAAUACCUCUUCUAUACCAGCCCCCAAAGGCUUAGUCUAAUGGACUUAGGUCACAUGUUCUAACCUUGUGCCAUUUGAACUAAGCCUGAUAUUUAAGUUCCUCGAGUUUCAAAUGAUGCAGUCGUCCUAAGGGUUGGCCGCACACAAAUUUCUAGGUCAUAAAAAAAGACAGAUUUCUUUUAUCAUCAUGUUUUGUUCAUUUAUUCUAUUAUGCCACUAUGAGAUCUUUCAAUUGAAAAAAUCUUUUAUCUAUAGGUUAUAACACAUCAUAAGCUAUGUUGCUCGGACUCUCCGAAAAUGUGGCCGGAUACGUGUCGGAUCCUCCAAAAGUAGUGCAUUUUUGAAGGAUCUGACACGGGUGCAGCUACAUUUUGGAGAGUCCGCGCAAUAUAGAUCAUAAGCAUGUGUAUAUAUAGCUUGGAAACUUGAGCAAACAGAAUCUAGUAUAUAACUCCUUCAAACAACUAUGAUUACACAGCCUACUUAAUUCGCCUCCCAUAAGUAGUUAUAAGUAGAGCAAAUGAGCUUGAACAUUAGUUGCUUAUGCCCUUGUGAAUUGCAUAGGAAAAGAGUCUGUUUGGUAGAUAAAGUUUAUAAGUUUGCUUCAAGUUCUGGACAUAUCUGCAUUGUUAGUUUUGAUUUAAAUUAUGAUGUGGAAUGACUUCGGAGUUAAUUCAUCGAAAAAAUGGUUCGUACCAGGUUGAACUUACUCUGUUAUCUGUUGUCUCUUCCUGAAUAUAAAAGAUUUAAGUACUCCUUCUCUAAAGCCUUAGUUAUUUUUCCUGCUGUCCUUGAAGUUAAUGUUUUAUUUGCCAAUAUGGUCAUUUGACUGUGAUCCUGAUUGGGGUUUCAUCAACGUUAAACACAAAUUCAAUGAAAUGUUGGGUUCACAGAAAUUAAUAACCAUUUCUUAAAUACUUCUUUUAGAAGUGAGUAUCUAAUUAUUAUAGUAUUAUAGUUUUCUUAGCAUAGGAUAUCUACAAAAUCAAAUUGUCCAUUUAGCCUCUUUAAAUACUGAAACCAAUGAAAAAGAUUAAAAAUAUUAGUAAAGUGAAAAAGGUAGAAUAAAGAGAUCUAUUACUCUAACUUUCACAUGGACAUAACUCAGGCAAAAAAAUUAGAUUACACUCUAUAAACUUGAAAUUUAAAUAUAUCAAUAGCUACAUUUUGCUAAUUUUACAAAAUCAGAAAAUAUAGGGUAGAAAGUUCUGCAAACUUGAAUACUUGUUAUUUACCACUAUGAAGCCACCAUACACGAGAGGAAAAAAUAAAAGCUAUCAAAUCAUCUAUGUUUAGAAAUUACAACCAAAUCUAAGUAUAAAAUCCAAAAUAUACUUUUUGAAGAUGAUAGAGCUACAUCAAAAUUUAAAAUUAGAGUUUGGAUAUUAAGAAUUUUCCGACCACGUUAAAUCUGCUGAAUCAACAGAGAUGCAUACAUUCUAUAAUCAGAAAGCCAAAAAAAUCCUGCCGCAUAGACUUUAUUAAACAGAGAGUUGAGACGAAAAAGGAGAAAGGAGGGACACAGAACAUGGGAGAAACAAAGAGAUUCGUUUUCGGCGAAGAGCUCCAAGUCGUCUCUCCUUCCUUUCCUACACUAUUUGGCCUUAUGCCUUACCACCUAACCCUAAAAAUUCAAAUCAGAUUUAUAGAAGAAAAAAAACUUUAAAGGUCAGAUUAAAGAGCAUCACAAAUACACAGCAAGAGAAACAGAACAAGAUUUUGCCAAAACUUCAAAGAGGGGCUACCCAGUGAUUCAGAGUAUCUUUGAGAAGCCAAAGAGAAUCCAUGGGAAAAGAAUUGAAAGAAAAAAACGAAAGAAUAAGUUGCGCUAGCUGCGAAAGAAACGAAGAAAGAUGUGGUGGCUGCAGAAAAGCCACGUAUGUAUACAUUAACAAUCACAAAAAGAUCAAAUCUUUUACAGAUUAAAUCGAUUCAACCACUAAACAAUCACAAAUAAAGAUCAUAACUUUGACAGAUGAAACUUAUCCAAAAUAAAAUACUACUACUACCUCAACCAAGUACCAAGAUUCUCCACACAAUUUAGAUAUGAAAUUAACUUCUAGUAAAUGAAAAAAAAGAGAAAAUUAUGAACUGGGUUGUCAAGAUCAAACCUUUAACAGAUUAAAUUGAUUCAACAAGAGCUAUUACUACAUCAAUCAAACACCAAGAUAUUACUACUGCAUGGUGCUAUAUCUAUAGAACUCCUGAUGCUCGUGACCCAAUUCUAAUGGAAGAAGUAAAUCUUUUCUAUGCACUUUUAUCGGCUACUAAUAAGAUAAUUUCUUUAGCUUAUUAGAAAGUUCAAACCAAGAUCAGAUGUUAAGUUUCAACCUCAAAAGUCUUCUCAAAUGCUCCAUAUGAGAAUAAUAGGCUACUUAAUUAACUGAUUCAUACCAUUUGCUGCAGUAUCUCAGUUCUUAAUUAAACCUAAUAUACUACUAUCUGUGUUCAUUCAUUGCUGCUGCUAACACCAAAAACUAUCAUUCCACUCAUAUGAGAGAACAUAAAGAAUCUUUUGGAAAGACUAUGCAAUAUGAUAUGCGACAGCAGGCAAUAUUUGAAUAAUUUAUUAUUUUUCCUUAUGUCUGCCUUUUUAUAUAGAUGGAUUUGAUUUCUGGAACCUUGACUUGAUAUCUCCUUUUCUAACAUAAAUGAGUAAUCUGGCAAAGAUUGAUAUGGAUAUUCAUUAAAAUAUGGCUGAUAGUUUAGAAGCUCGAUUCAGCUGUUUCACUAACAAUGGCGAGCCAUAACAAAGUUUAAGUUGUUAAAAGUUAACUACAACAAAGAGAGAAAUCCUAACGUCAAGGAGAGCAUAAAAGUUCUCACUCUUACCAAAACUAAAGAUAUCAUACUAAGAAUUGCAUUUCAAAACGUCGGCUUUUAUGUUUCUUCCACUAAUAAGCAAAAUCGAGCGAAUGGUAUCAAAAGCAUUAAAGUAACAAGUUGGUCAGAAAGUUUACCUUCUGAUCAGAAGACUACUGAAUAACACAAUCACAAGAACUACAAUAACAAAGAGAAUAAAUUGAGGGCAAAAUAGUAUCAGCAAUAGAUAAUUCCAACUAAAAUAAAGGAUAAAGCUGAAAAGUUAGUACAUCGUCAGAGUUAACAACCAGUUUGAUGACACCGUCUCUAAUGCUUACAGAAAAAUAAGGCGGCUCGCAAAUAAUUUCAUAAGUAAAAACUUUAAAUUAAGAACUUUUGACACAAUACAGUUUUGCGACUAUCGUUAUAAUAAAUAAAAUUUAGUGAUCAUAUUCACGUGCAGUGUCACUGUUUUACUUUCAAUAAACUUACACCUAGCAAUAAACAAUUAUUAUUAAACAAAAAAGAAAUAACAUAGCUGCAAUUUCUGUUAAUGAAAACAAAAAAAACGAAAAAAUAAGUAUAGUUAAUGGGUUAUCCAUCUUAUCUUGCUAAAGGUAGUGAAAAAAGAAAAAUAGCACAAAACCACACGUACAACAGAAGUCGAAAACACAAAGAACGAAAUCGCCAAUACCUAUACAUAUCUCUCAAGCAACAAAUCCCAAAAUCAAAUAGCAAAUGGAGAAAUCAUUAAAUGAACAAAUCAAAUAAAAGCUAAUGAUCAGAGAAACAAAGAAGCUAAGCAUAAAAAGCAGAAGCAUAACAACAAUCGAGCAAAACGGCUUUAGAUCAAACUUGAAUUUGAACUUCAAAAAAGGAUUAUAACAUGAAUUUUAUUUGUUGUUUCUUGACGCUACACUUUGACUAUGGUGGGUUAUGGUGGAUUAUUGUUAAACACUGCUCUUCAGUGCCACCAUGCCGACAGGAAUUAAAGCAAGUGAAGAAAUUGAAUUUGUUUUCUUGAUUUCAAUUUAUCUCCGAAAAAAAUACCCAAUUUCAUCCAUCAAAACCCUAACUCGAAAAAUCUAUCGUUAAUUCACUCUAUUCUCAUGAAUUUGAAACAAAAAAAGAAGCAAAAACAGAUAGAAAAUAAUAAAAUUGAUGUUAAAGAGCAAGAAAAGCACCUUCAAGUUGAAGAGACGAGGAAGACCGAAGAUAAUCUCAAAACCACUGUAAAUUAUUAUGUGAGGAAAUUGAAUAAAGAACCGCAGGAAUAACCUAAAAGCUACACGUAUGUAUAGGCAGAAAAAGGUCACGUAUAGAGAUCAUGUGAAAUGACCUAAGUGUCCUCAAACU
Molecule: long non-coding RNA, 7200 nt
Filed under: Nicotiana tabacum (common tobacco)
Lineage: Eukaryota; Viridiplantae; Streptophyta; Magnoliopsida; Solanales; Solanaceae
Description: long non-coding RNA (NTAB_LNC006524)
Source: RNAcentral